UACGGAGGGUGCAAGCGUUGUCCGGAUUUAUUGGGUUUAAAGGGUGCGUGGGCGGUUCUUUAAGUCCGGGGUGAAAGCCCACUGCUCAACAGUGGAACUGCCCUGGAAACUGGAGAACUUGAGUACAGACGAGGGCGGCGGAAUGGAUGGUGUAGCGGUGAAAUGCAUAGAUACCAUCCAGAACACCGAUUGCGUAGGCAGCUUACUAGGCUGUAACUGACGCUCAUGCACGAAAGCGUGGGGAGCAAACAGG
This 253-nucleotide ribosomal RNA is filed under the name uncultured bacterium. RNAcentral describes it as "partial 16S ribosomal RNA". It matches the Rfam family "Bacterial small subunit ribosomal RNA", at positions 524 to 776 of the family's 1533-position model. The record is from RNAcentral.